AGUCGACGGUGAUGGGGAGCUUGCUCCUCUGAUCAGUGGCGAACGGGUGAGUAACACGUGAGUAACCUGCCCUUCACUCUGGGAUAACGUCGGGAAACCGGUGCUAAUACUGGAUAUGACCUGCUCGGGCAUCCGAUGUGGGUGGAAAGAUUUAUUGGUGGAGGAUGGACUCGCGGCCUGUCAGCUUGUUGGUGAGGUAAUGGCUCACCAAGGCGACGACGGGUAGCCGGCCUGAGAGGGCGAUCGGCCACACUGGGACUGAGACACGGCCCAGACUCCUACGGGAGGCAGCAGUGGGGAAUAUUGCACAAUGGGCGAAAGCCUGAUGCAGCGACGCCGCGUGAGGGAUGAAGGCCUUCGGGUUGUAAACCUCUUUCAGCAGGGAAGAAGCGGCCGGGUUUUCUUGGUUGUGACGGUACCUGCAGAAGAAGCACCGGCUAACUACGUGCCAGCAGCCGCGGUAAUACGUAGGGUGCAAGCGUUGUCCGGAAUUAUUGGGCGUAAAGAGCUUGUAGGUGGUUUGUCGCGUCUGUUGUGAAAUUUCGGGGCUCAACCCCGAACUUGCAGUGGAUACGGGCAGACUAGAGUGUGGUAGGGGAGACUGGAAUUCCUGGUGUAGCGGUGAAAUGCGCAGAUAUCAGGAGGAACACCGAUGGCGAAGGCAGGUCUCUGGGCCAUUACUGACACUGAGAAGCGAAAGCAUGGGGAGCGAACAGGAUUAGAUACCCUGGUAGAAUCACUAGUGAAUUC
Molecule: ribosomal RNA, 750 nt
Filed under: uncultured bacterium
Lineage: Bacteria
Description: bacterial SSU rRNA
Rfam family: Bacterial small subunit ribosomal RNA
Source: RNAcentral